Molecule: long non-coding RNA, 357 nt
Organism: Mus musculus (house mouse)
Lineage: Eukaryota; Metazoa; Chordata; Mammalia; Rodentia; Muridae
Product: predicted gene, 31596
Exons: 3
Source: RefSeq, a predicted model, not a curated record
UCCUUGUCACGGAGAGUGGGGACACAAAACACUUUUACUUCCACAGCCUGGCCCUCCUGCCACCUGAACUUACCAGCAUGUCCACCUUCAGGUUUAUUCUUUUCUACAACUGCCUUGUAUGGCUGUUUCUCACCCAGAGACUAUGGUUAGGUGUCUCCUGGCUCCCUGGCUUGUUUUCAGAGCUCCAGAGCAGAACUCGCCCACUUGCUGGAGAUCAGCUGUGUAUCCUGGAGGCUCUAACCCUGAGCUUCUUCGGUGAGAGGAGGAGAUACAGAUAUCACCGCAGAGCUGAAGGCCGACUUGCUGUGCUGCUGAUGUUUGUGCUGCUGAUGUGAGGCUGGACUUCAUUACUGUGUU